This 27-nucleotide non-coding RNA is filed under the name Bombyx mori (domestic silkworm). Lineage: Eukaryota; Metazoa; Arthropoda; Insecta; Lepidoptera; Bombycidae. The record is from RNAcentral.
UCUCAAGAUGGUGGUGUACGGCGUCAA